GACGAACGCUGGCGGCGUGCUUAACACAUGCAAGUCGAACGAAGUGGCGAACGGGUGAGUAACGCGUAAUCAACCUGCCCUUCAGAGGGGGACAACAGUUGGAAACGACUGCUAAUACCGAAUACUGAAGGAGGGGAAUGCGUGUGAUUAGCUAGUGGGAGGGGUAACGGCCCACCAAGGCGAUGAUCAGUAGCCGGUCUGAGAGGAUGAACGGCCACAUUGGGACUGAGACACGGCCCAGACGCCUACGGGAGGCAGCAGUGGGGAAUCUUCCGCAAUGGACGAAAGUCUGACGGAGCAACGCCGCGUGAGUGAUGACGGCCUUCGGGUUGUAAAGCUCUGUUGUAAGAGAAGCGGUAUCUGACCAGAAAGCCACGGCUAACUACGUGCCAGCAGCCGCGGUAAUAC
Molecule: ribosomal RNA, 408 nt
Filed under: uncultured bacterium
Lineage: Bacteria
Description: partial 16S ribosomal RNA
Rfam family: Bacterial small subunit ribosomal RNA
Source: RNAcentral